GCACCAUUGUGCUAUUGCCUCGGUUCACUCAUACCUCAAAACACUCUUCAUCUUUUUUCCUUUUUGGGUUUUUGAUUGAGCCGUGUCAAUAUCCCAAUGCUACUU
Molecule: microRNA precursor, 105 nt
Filed under: Phaseolus vulgaris (common bean)
Lineage: Eukaryota; Viridiplantae; Streptophyta; Magnoliopsida; Fabales; Fabaceae
Source: RNAcentral